GGUGGCUCAGUGGUAGAGUGCUUGCCUUGCAUGCAUGAAGCCCUGAGUUUGAUUCCUCAGCACCA
This is a non-coding RNA of Dipodomys ordii (Ord's kangaroo rat), 65 nucleotides long. NCBI's taxonomy places the organism in Eukaryota, Metazoa, Chordata, Mammalia, Rodentia, Heteromyidae. The record is from Rfam.